Molecule: long non-coding RNA, 365 nt
Filed under: Phoenix dactylifera (date palm)
Lineage: Eukaryota; Viridiplantae; Streptophyta; Magnoliopsida; Arecales; Arecaceae
Description: long non-coding RNA (PDAC_LNC016974)
Source: RNAcentral
CUCUAAUCCACCCCUAGUGGAAUAUUCAUCAAAGUCAGUUGACAACCUCAAGUUCUUUCAAAUAGAGGGUUGAAAUUAAUUGAAGAAGUACAAGCUUCAGAUUUAGGAGGAAAUAGGUCUACACCAAAAUAUUUCAGAUCUAAAAUCAAAAUCGAUGAUCUAUUAAUUCUAGUCUCAAGAUGUUAAUCAUUUCCUUAGCAUGACAUAAAAUUAGAGAACCUAAGAUAGUGCAGCGACAUCCAAAAAUUCAAAAUCAAAUCAAGUCUUUUGUUAUUAAAACUUGCCGAAUUAAAGGGAUAAUACUUCUGACCAACUUAGAAAAAUAGUUCAGACCACUACGCUUUCGUUCGCACUCUGAUUCAAAC